GAAAUGCGAUAAGUAGUGUGAAUUGCAGAAUUCAGUGAAUCAUCGAAUCUUUGAACGCACAUUGCGCCCUUUGGUAUUCCUUAGGGCAUGCCUGUUCGAGCGUCAUCUAAACCUUCAAGCCCUGCUUGGUGUUGGUUGCCUGUCCCGCCUCCGCGCGCGGACUCACCUCAAAUCCAUUGGCGGCCCCCGCGUCGGCCACGAGCGCAGCAGAAACGCGAACUCGUGAGCCCGUCCGGGCGGCUCCCAGAAGCUACACCCACCCAGUUUGACCUCGAAUCAGGUAGGAAUACCCGCUGAACUUAAGC
Molecule: unclassified non-coding RNA, 305 nt
Filed under: plant metagenome
Description: partial contains 5.8S ribosomal RNA, internal transcribed spacer 2, and large subunit ribosomal RNA
Rfam family: 5.8S ribosomal RNA (bases 1-105)
Source: RNAcentral